Molecule: long non-coding RNA, 580 nt
Filed under: Brachypodium distachyon (stiff brome)
Lineage: Eukaryota; Viridiplantae; Streptophyta; Magnoliopsida; Poales; Poaceae
Description: long non-coding RNA (BDIS_LNC002184)
Source: RNAcentral
GGCCGGUUACUUAAUUGUGAGGCGAGAGAUAGCUGCACAAGUGGAAAUUGGGCUGAUGGGCUAGCUGUUUUAUUAGGCCUCCUUUGCUCUCUUCACACGGGUCCAUACCUACAGCGAAAAGGUUUGACCUUCAGCCUAAUCAAAUCAUUAUUAUGGUCAUUGGUAAUUUCUCCCAUCUUUCUUAAAUGUGAGAUGUUUUUUGUUUGUCUUAAUAAGUCAAAAAAGUAAAGUUUUAUCAGAUUUAUCAAAAACUGUACCAAAUGUACAACUCUGAAUUAGUUGUAUUAAUUCGGUUACAAUAUAUCUUCAUAGUAUAUUUAUUUGGUAUUGUAAAUAUAAUUUUUUGACUUAAUAUAUACCUAGAACAUCUUAUAUUUACAGACGCAGCACCGGAUCUAUUCGCAGUGGACGCGUGCGUGCAUCUCGCCAUAUUUAGGAUUCGUUUGGCAUUGCGGUGGAUUAUAAUCUCGUUUUUUUCGCCUACUUUUCAGUAUUUUCUUUUCUUGUUUGGCUAACAAUUUUUUUCCUACUUUUGUGUGUAUUUUUUGCAACUGAUUAUAAAAUAAGUUUAAUUCAACAA